This 210-nucleotide ribosomal RNA is filed under the name uncultured bacterium. RNAcentral's name for it is "partial 16S ribosomal RNA". It matches the Rfam family "Bacterial small subunit ribosomal RNA", at positions 1283 to 1500 of the family's 1533-position model. The record is from RNAcentral.
CGUUCUCAGUUCGGAUCGGAGUCUGCAACCCGACUCCGUGAAGCUGGAUUCGCUAGUAAUCGCGCAUCAGCCAUGGCGCGGUGAAUACGUUCCCGGGCCUUGUACACACCGCCCGUCAAGCCAUGGGAGCCGGGGGUGCUUGAAGUGCGUCGCCGCAAGGCGCGCCCUAGAGCAAAACCGGUGACUGGGGCUAAGUCGUAACAAGGUAGC